UCUAUUUUAAAUUCUUCAUAAGAACAUACAUAGUUAACAACUUAAUACAGUCAAAAAUAAUUAUUGUUUUGAUAUAUGUUUUUUUUCCCUACAAGGAGCAGGGAAUACCAAACUAAAUAAAACUGAGUAAAUGGUGGAGGAAGGGCAGAGCAAAACAGUGGUUUAUAUUUCUUUGUCAAAACAAAGCUGAAUAAGAAGCUUGUGCUACGAAGAAAGUUUGACUAGUGUUACAGACACAGAGGGAGGGCACUUUUGGUUAAAAACAGAACAGUCAUAGGGUUGCUCUUACUGCCUUUUUUUUUUUUUUUUCCCUGCAUGCAGAAAAUGUUUGGCAUUCCCCAACAAAACCCACGAAAACACCUACGUCAAAAUGUUAAAUAGGUUUUGAAAUCAAAUACUUAAAGGUCAAGAAAUGCCACAUGUGUAUAAAUCGCCAGAAGAAUUCAAAUUCUACCUCUCUGUGCCUCCAGCCUGGAGACUGAAUGAAGGGGGAUUGUGUUAGAAGGAACAAGCAAAAAACCCUGUUAUGUGGGCACAUAAAGAUUACCAGUGACACUCCUAUUCAUAGGAAGGUGGAAUUGCAUUUCCUAUUAGCUUUAGUUACUCCGUUUUUAAAAAAGUUUUCUGCUAAUUGAAAUAUCAUGUAGCCUUUUGCUGUGACAACUUCCAUCUAUUCUCCUUAUGGUCCCACAUAUAUUUUAUAAAAUUGUAAGCCAUGGGACACAGGAUAUGUCACUCAUUUUGUUAUAAAUAGCUAAUCCUAGCUACAGCACUGUGAAAAUCAUCGUUUGCUGUUGAGCUCCUUUGGACCCGAAGGAGGAUGUUGACACUGUGUUUCCCUGUACUGGUCUAGAGGUACAACAGGCUUUGGCAGCAGUCUUUGUAUCAGCUGGGCUUUCUUAAGUCCAUGAAAUUGCCUGAAUCCGGUACAGUGAUGCUGCUUGUGGAGUCUGCCAAGUAAGCAGCAGCAUUUGUCUGCGGAGCUCUGUGAGACAUGGGGCUGCAGGAUCUCGGCUGCUUGGGAUGCUCAGCCCACAGCUUAAUGCCUUAUGUGGCCUUGCUGCCCCAUUUGAGUCUGGAGCUGCUGGGAGUUGCAACUGUUUGAUUUGUCUACUUUCUGUGGGCUUCAUUAACAAACUGUUUUAAAGCUAUUUUGGCAUAUUGAAAGAUUAAGCUACAGUGGUAGCGUUCCUCUGGUAGUAUAGAUUCCUGUAAAUAGACUUCAUGGUUUUCACAAAGACAGUGCCCUUACGAGAAACAGAAGCUCUUGCAGGAUCCUGGAGAUGACUGGCCAGCACCCUGAUUUACCUUGUUAACUGGUAUUUCCAUGAGUUGUCACAAAUAGAUGCUAGCUGAUGGACACGGUGACAGCCAGCCAAGAAACCAUGUAUGGGCAUCAAACAUAGCGGAGGGCAAGGAUAACAGUCAGGAAUGUAACCUCCUGGAGUUGCCUGGGUAAGGCAGAAUGCCACCUGGCACAAACCCUGGCUGCUGUAAGGUUAAAAAUAACAAAUAGGAUCCCUAUUACAUAAGGAAAUCUUUUGUCCUUCUUUAAUGGGGCACUAUGAUACGCUGGAAAGAAUAAAUAGGGAGCUUCUCUGAACUCCCCUUUUUUUCCUCUGAACUCUAUUGCUUGUGGUUAGUGCUGAGGGCCAAACCAGCUGAAAAUACCAGGGCUGGUUGUAAGCAGGACCCGCGUACAAACUGCUGGUGUUAAAUGGGUGACAUCUGGGUGCAGUGCCAGUGUCUAAGGGUGGUCAGCAGCAGCGUCAAACCAUUUCACUCUACUGGUGGCAUCUCGGCCCCGGGAAGGACUUCUAGUCCCUUAUCUGUGAUGACCAUGUUACUCUAUUUGCGUUACAGUAUCUGUGUGUUCAAAGCAGCCCAUAAACCCCCGGGAUGCCUGCAGUCCAUUGCCCACGUUCUGCUGCUUAGUGCAGUAAGAUGGGUCUUGGAGAAGCUGUUGAAGUUACUGUGGAUGAACUUGAAACUCGCCCCAGAAGUGUGAUGUGUUUUCAUGCCUGCAGGUCACUUCCAGUCCCAUGAAGGAAACACCCGCUGUGGUUUCAGUUAAAUAAUUAAUCUAAAGUGAUACUAAUGCUCAAGUUUUCCUUUGAGUCCUACUACGUUCUCCUCUGAUCACACUCAAUGUGAGAUGCCAUCUGUGAUGAAUCUGCAGCCUGUGUCCAAGCCGAAUUCUCCCGUUUCAAGUGGCAGCUUUGAGGACUGUCAAAGGCAACACUCACAUCCAGUUCAACUGCACAGCUCUGCCUGUACCCAUCAUCUUUUUGUAGACUAUGAUGCCUUUCAGAAAGAGCUGGUAGCGCUUGGAUCAAAGGCUCAGCAGCCAGAUGGGCUGUGCUCAUGGAAUAUAGCAAAGGAAACUGGACUCAACCACCAAAACCUCAGUGACCAAAAAGCUCAUGGCAGAAGCUGGAGUGCACUUCACAUUCAAGUGAAGGGUAAAGUGCUGCUGCUGGAGAAGGGCUAGCAUCCCUGAAAUGAGUGAUGGACCCCAGGAACCGAGAAAUACGAUGGGGAUUUUUAAGAGACAAUCUACACAGGACUGUAGAAGCUUGUAUCCUACUUAACACCAUCUAAGCACAUUAACCUUCCUCUGACAGAUGCCUGGCCUGCAGCUCUAAAGAGAAACCCCCAAACCUCUCCAAACCCGGUGAGAGCUGAUGCCCCUGAGCUCUGUUAUGAGACACAAGUUCACAAUAGCAGCUCCAACCUGGAAGACAAAGCUUGCUCAUGGAUUAAAGAUUUUAAGAUGCUG
This is a long non-coding RNA of Falco peregrinus (peregrine falcon), 2779 nucleotides long. RefSeq lists it as uncharacterized. NCBI's taxonomy places the organism in Eukaryota, Metazoa, Chordata, Aves, Falconiformes, Falconidae. The record is from RefSeq and is a predicted model, not a curated record. The transcript has 3 exons.